ACCAAGACCUAAAAGAACCAAAGUUGAUGAUUGUGUAGUUCUUGAUGUAGCCACCCGACCAAAUCCCUAUAGUCUUUCUUUAGUAGCAGAUGAAAAUGAUGCUUUUGAAAUAUGUUAUUCUGAUGAGAACAGUAUUGUUCCUUGUACUCGUGGUGAGGUUAGGAAGAAUGAAAAUGGUCCAGAAAAUGCAAUGGAUAAGCAUGGUAUAUUUCA
Long non-coding RNA from Amphimedon queenslandica, 213 nucleotides. RefSeq lists it as uncharacterized. The record is from RefSeq and is a predicted model, not a curated record. NCBI's taxonomy places the organism in Eukaryota, Metazoa, Porifera, Demospongiae, Haplosclerida, Niphatidae. The transcript has 3 exons.